This 1023-nucleotide ribosomal RNA is filed under the name Triticum aestivum (bread wheat). RNAcentral describes it as "partial small subunit ribosomal RNA". The record is from RNAcentral. Lineage: Eukaryota; Viridiplantae; Streptophyta; Magnoliopsida; Poales; Poaceae.
AUGAGCCACGGGGCAAUGGGAGGGCGCUGCUUCCUGAACCUCCUCCCCUGCUCCACGACCCCCUGCAAAGACAGCGUCGGCGUCGGCGUCGGCACGCCCGGUUCGUCGUCAUGCCGCCACUCCGUCCACCACCACCGCGCCAGAGCGCGCGGCCCGAGGAGAAACGCGGCCGCCAGGGUGUCCUGCUCCGCCGCCGCCGCGCAGGCGCCGCCGUCGCAGAGCACAAUCAAGGUGGUCAUCGUCGGCGCGACCAAGGAGAUGGGGAGGGCGGCGAUCGCGGCGGUGAGCAGGGCGCGGGGGAUGGAGCUCGCGGGCGCCAUUGACACCCAGUGCAUCGGGAUGGAUGCAGGAGAGCUAAGCGGCAUGGAAGAAGCCCUGGAGAUCCCGGUGCUCAAUGACCUCACCAUGGUCCUCGGCUCCAUAGCACAGACAAGAGCAACUGGUGUGGUUGUUGACUUCAGUGAACCUUCAUCCGUCUAUGACAAUGUCAAGCAGGCAGCAGCAUUUGGCUUAAGCAGUGUCGUAUACGUUCCGAAAAUCGAGAUGGAUACAGUAACUGAACUGUCAGCAUUCUGCGACAAGGCAAGCAUGGGUUGCCUGGUCGCGCCAACGCUGUCAAUCGGCUCGGUGCUCCUUCAGCAAGCUGCAAUCCAGGCCUCAUUCCACUACAACAACGUCGAGAUAGUGGAAUCAAGACCUAACCCAUCGGACUUGCCAUCGCCAGAUGCGAUACAGAUUGCGAAUAACAUAUCUGAUCUUGGUCAGAUCUACAACAGACAAGAUAUGGAUUCCGAUAAUCCAGCAAGAGGUCAGGUACUUGGAGAAGAUGGGGUGCGUGUGCACAGCAUGGUUCUUCCAGGGCUUGCGUCGAGCACGUCGGUCGUUUUGUCGGGCCCCGGAGAGGUUUACACCUUGAAGCAUGAUGUUACAGACAUCCAGAGCCUAAUGCCAGGACUGAUUCUGGCAAUACGGAAGGUGAUACGCCUGAAGAACUUGAUUUAUGGUCUGGAGAAGUUCUUGUAG